Ipomoea nil (Japanese morning glory) is the source of this 516-nucleotide long non-coding RNA. RefSeq lists it as uncharacterized. The transcript is spliced from 2 exons. Lineage: Eukaryota; Viridiplantae; Streptophyta; Magnoliopsida; Solanales; Convolvulaceae. The record is from RefSeq and is a predicted model, not a curated record.
CUGAAUGUAACUUAGAGCUGUAGUUUCAUGAUUUUACAUGGGUGAAAUUGCUAUGCGGAUCCGAAAGGGUUAUUGAAUUACCCUCCUUUUCUCUGGGCUCAUUCUCCCUCCUACGCACUUCCUGCUGAUGAUAUUUUGAGGGCGGGCUGUCGAGACACUAAUGGUGGUAGUGUAUGAUGAAAUAAUUUGUUGUGUCCGUACCUGAUUUUGCCAUUUUGGUGAAGAAGACCCAUUUUCAGUUCUUCAGGAAAAAAUAUAAUGGUCAUGUCAGCUGCUUAUUGGAAAAAAUAUUGCAUGCCAAUGGAAUCUCCUUUUCAACGCGUGGCUCUAUUUGUUGAUGUUCACAAGACAAGCAGUUCGAUUUCAGAGCAUAAACUGAUGAAGCAUUUCUGUUUUGAAACAGAAUCUUCUCAUAAUGAAUUCUUGUAUUUUAUCCCAGCACUGUUAGUUUGAUUAGAAUUGGCUUGAUUACUGUUAUAACACAACUAGUUCUAGGAAUGUUACUUGUACUUGUAU